GCUAGAUGUGGAAGCCAAUAGAUCACACACUUAUAGAAUUAUUAUCAAAGACUUAAGAUUAGUAGCUUAUUUAAUUUGGGCCUUGGAGGGCCUAUUUGGAUAAAGUACUAAGGUUAUGGAUUUAUAUGAAAUCCUAGAGGAUUUUACAUAAGCAUGCUAGCACAUGUCAAAUCCUAACUAAGCCCUUAAGAGCUCGAACAGUCAAAGAGUUGAUGCCAAG
RNAcentral lists this long non-coding RNA (220 nucleotides) under Elaeis guineensis (African oil palm). RNAcentral's name for it is "long non-coding RNA (EGUI_LNC042226)". Lineage: Eukaryota; Viridiplantae; Streptophyta; Magnoliopsida; Arecales; Arecaceae. The record is from RNAcentral.